Non-coding RNA from Moraxella bovis, 114 nucleotides. The record is from Rfam. NCBI's taxonomy places the organism in Bacteria, Pseudomonadati, Pseudomonadota, Gammaproteobacteria, Moraxellales, Moraxellaceae.
GCUGACGACAAUAGCAAGAUGGAACCACCUGAUCCCUUCCCGAACUCAGAAGUGAAACGUCUUAGCGCCGAUGGUAGUGUGGUUUGCCCAUGCGAGAGUAGGUCAUCGUCAGCA